CAUAGGGACAAUGAGACAUUGGGACACUGGGAGACCUGGGAACACUGAGACACUAGGGGACACUGGGAGACAUGGGGACACAGACACAUGGGAACACACAUGUCUCUCAGUGUCCCUAGUGUCUCAGUGUUCCCAUGUUUCCCAGUGUCCCUAGUGUCUGUGUGCCCAUAUCU
This 173-nucleotide microRNA precursor is filed under the name Pelobates cultripes (western spadefoot toad). The record is from RNAcentral. Lineage: Eukaryota; Metazoa; Chordata; Amphibia; Anura; Pelobatidae.